Non-coding RNA from Polychaeton citri CBS 116435, 105 nucleotides. The record is from the annotation of a GenBank genome assembly. Lineage: Eukaryota; Fungi; Ascomycota; Dothideomycetes; Capnodiales; Capnodiaceae.
GCGUUGGUGGUUUAGUGGUAAAAUUCAUCGUUGCCAUACAUCUUAAUAAGAUCAAAUUAGAAUGGAAGAUUCGAUGAGCCCCGGGUUCGAUUCCCGGCCGACGCA